AUGCCAAAGAGACAUUCAUUGAAAUUUAUUAGUCUAUGGAUUCCAAGAUUUUGAAGAACUAGAGGUUUGUAAGGAAACACACGAAAUAGAGUGGGAAAAUUUCUAUAGAAGAACAUAUGUUUUCAGACUUUGACAGCUAUAUAUAGCAACUUCUUUUCAUGAGCCACAACCUUUGACAGAUUCUAUAUCUCGCUUUGUAUGGGUUAAGUUACUAAGUGACAUAAAUUUCUAGCCAAAACCAUGAGUAGA
This 249-nucleotide long non-coding RNA is filed under the name Helianthus annuus (common sunflower). RNAcentral's name for it is "sRNA HanXRQr2_Chr14g0633851". Lineage: Eukaryota; Viridiplantae; Streptophyta; Magnoliopsida; Asterales; Asteraceae. The record is from RNAcentral.